AAAGAUUUGAUUUCACUUCUUCUCUCUCAGACGUCCUUUUCUCUUUGAUAUCUUCUCGCUCCUUUUCUCUCUGAUUUCACGAGCCGUGGUCUCCAUCCUCUUCCUCGGGCGGCUAGGAAGCCUCGAGCUAGCUGAUGACGUCAUUCAGGGAGGAGGGAGAGAACAGAGGUUCGUCGGCGUCUUUAGAGAACAGAGGUUCGGCGGCGUCUUUAGAGAAUAGAGGUUCGGCGGCGUCUUUAGAGAACAGAGGGUGGAGUCAGAGGGUGUCAUUCAGGGAGGAGGGAGAGAGAGAUCUCAGAUGUUUUGAUGGUGGGUUUGGAUUUGGGUUUCGUUCCAGAUCUGGAUGGUUCGUCUUUACUUUUGUUCAGAUUUGGUGGGUUUCGUUCCAGAUCUAGCAUUUUGUUUUAUUGAUUAUCUUUGCUUAUGUUCGGAUUCGGUGGGUUUGUAUUGAUGUUUGUAUUUCCGAUCUGGUCACAUGGUGUAGUUCUUGCUUAUCUAUGUUGCAUGAACAGAUUUGGGUGAUGGUGUUGUUAUUUGAGGUUUUCAUGUAGUGCUGGAGUUUCAACCGGAACCAUGGUCCGGUGGUGGCUUCGCUGGAGCUGAG
This 604-nucleotide long non-coding RNA is filed under the name Panax ginseng (ginseng). Its description in RNAcentral is "long non-coding RNA (PGIN_LNC003156)". Lineage: Eukaryota; Viridiplantae; Streptophyta; Magnoliopsida; Apiales; Araliaceae. The record is from RNAcentral.